Non-coding RNA from Callithrix jacchus (white-tufted-ear marmoset), 9174 nucleotides. NCBI's taxonomy places the organism in Eukaryota, Metazoa, Chordata, Mammalia, Primates, Cebidae. The record is from RefSeq and is a predicted model, not a curated record.
UCCUACGGGAUCUGGGGAUCCAGAAUCCGGCCUGACGUUCCGUUCCAAGAAUCUAAAGUCCAGGGAGAAAUCCGAGCUCGGAUUUGCAAGGUCCUGAGGUUCUGAAAUCGGGAAUUGGGUCCCAGAAUCUGGGUCAUCCGAACUUCGGAGACUGGCCGCUUCCGGAACAGCCUGGUGCCCCCAAGCACGCCGAAGACUGUAGACUGCUCGCAGCAAGCGAGAAUAAAAUGCCAGGCCAGAGCUAGGGAAAAGGUUCGACCCGCAGACCCUGCCCUGCAGGAAUCUGUUGAAUGAAUGGCUCUCUAGAGACAUCAGGGUACUAGAGCACCAUGAAUAAUGGGUGUCCUCCAGGGCCCAGUGAGUGCCGGCAGGGAGGGACUGGGAUGGGGGAAAUCUUCACCCAAGGCCGCUUGCCCCAAAGUCUUCAGACCUGGAGUGGGACUUGGCAUCUGAGCCUUUACUGUUGCUUAGGAGGCUGCUUUCUUCAGGACCCAACCUGCUGUGGAGCCCCGCUGACCUUUAACUUCUAUCCAGAAGGUGACCAUAGGCCCUGAGAAGCACUUCCCACUCUAAACAUAUUUUAUUUUAUUUUGAGAUGGAAUCUUGCUCUGUUGCCCAGGCUGGAGUGCAGUGGUGCCAUCUCAGCUUCCUGCAACCUCUGCCUCCCGAGUUCAAGCGAUUCUCCUGCCUCAGCCUCCCAAGUAGCUGGGAUUACAUGCACCACCAUGCCCGGCUAAUGUUUUUUGUAUUUUUAGUAGAGAUGGGGUUUCACCCAGUUUGUCAGGCUGGUCUUGAACUUCUGACCUCAUGAUAUGCCUACCUCGGCCUCUGAAAGUGCUGGGAUUACAGGUGUGAGCCACCUCCCCUGGCUUUCUAAACAUUUCUUUACCCACCCCUUGAAGGAGACAACCCCUGCCCUUUGGGCUACAACAGCUUCUCAGCUUCAAAUCCCCAAGAAUCCCCAACUUUCUUGUGUGAAUUAAUGACCUGGUAUUUAAGCCUCAGUGGACCCUGAAAUCAAGAACUGGGGCUAUAAGUCACUGUUUCUCUGAAAGAAGAUUUCCUUGGUUCCUCUUCCGAAGCAGAGAAUGCUAACAUUCAACAGAGCCUCAGGCAGCACCCACAACCUCCUCCUUGCCUCCUUGCCCCACCCCCCCGCUUUUUUUUUUGAGACUGUCUUGCUCUGACGCCCAGGCUGGAGUGCAAUGGCACGAUCUCAGCUUGCUGCAAUCUCCGCCUCCUGGAUUUGAGUGAUUCUUUUGCCUCUGCCUCUCAAGUAAUUAGGAUUCUAGGCACUCGACACCACUUCUGGCUAUUUUUUUUUGUUUUGUUUUUUUGUAUUUUUAGUAGAGACAGGUUUUCACCAUGUUGGGCAGGCCGGUUUUGAACUCCUGACCCCAAAUGAUCUGCCUGCCUCAGCCUCCCAAAGUGCUAGGAUCAGGCGUGAGCCACUGUGCCCGGCCUCCCUGCCCAUUUUAUAGAGGAGGAAACUGAGGCUUAAUGGGGGAUAGGACUUGCCCAAGGUCAUAUAGGUACUAUCUGCCUUCAGAACCCAAAUUCUUCACUGUUGCACCAUCCUGUCUUAUGAUUGCCAUUUCUCAGAUGCAGGAAACUAAGGCCCGCAGAGGAGAAGGGAUUGCUCUGGGUGCUUCAUGGGGGCAGUAGCAGCACUAGGAAAGGACCCAGCCUCCUUCCUCUGCUCUCCGUAGGCUCACUCACCUGCAGUGCCCCCUGAAAACUUGCCCAGUACCAGCUGGUAGUGGUCUACCUCCCCGAGGAGGCGGAAUGUCGCAUACUGGGCGAAAGUACGGUUGCUAUUAAAGUCUUCCAGCUCUACCCGAAGCUCCCAGGUACCUGGAAGUGAGGGGAGGCAGGGAUGGAGCAAUCCUCAGAUCCAGGGGUUGAGGCAGGGAUUCAGGAGGGCAGACAGUAACCCCCAGACUUCCAGACUGCUGGGAACUCACCCUGGAGAGUAAGCAGGUGCAAAUUCUCAUUUCCCAGCCAAAAUUCAGACUCCUGCUUCCCAAAACCUGCUUUGUAGGAGGACCAAGAGCGGAAGAAAUCCACAGAACCAUCCUGGCGCCUCUGAAACACCUAGGGAGGAGUGGGGGCACAGCAGCUAUUACUCCAGGCUGGGCACGGGUAGCUGAGGGUGCAGGAACUGUGAGGGGUAGGUGGACACCCUCUCUGUCUUUGAAUUGGGGCCAAAGAGGGAUUGGAUUUCGACUCACUGCAACCUCUGCCUCCCAGGUUCAGGCGAAUCUUCUCAGUUUCCCAAGUAGCUGGGAUUACAGGCGUGAGCUACUGCACCCAACUCAAGGUCCUUUCAAAUGGCACCUCCUCUCUGAAGCCCUCAUACUUCUUCAGGACCCAUUGGAAGCUCACUAAACAUUUGUCAGUGAAUUACUCUAGGAAAUGCCUGCUCUGAUGGGCUUGGGCUUCCUGGGGGCCAACGGGGAGAAGUGACCACUGGGCCAUUCUCAGACACUCACCAGCCAGCCUCCCCCCUCAGUGUCCAUGUCACAAAAGACUCGGAGGGCCCUGCCCCCAGGUAGGCACAGAUGGUACCAGCCACUCAAGGUGGCACCCUGGCUCAACAGCUCCCGGCAGUUUCUGGGGCCUGGCAAAGGGGAGAUGGGCUGAGGAGGGGGCAACCAGGUUAUUCCCUGACCCCCACCACCAGGCACUGGAACAAGUGCGGGACUCUAUGGGCCCUCUUGGCUACUUCAGAUCCCUCAAGAGCGGUUCUAAGGAUGCUGUGGGGAGGGGCUUGGCCACACUUGGGGGUCUGCCAACACCCAACAUGACGUGAUCCCAAGUUCCUGGCUCCUUCAAGGGCUGCCUCACCUUCCUGGCACCGGAGCAGGUUUGCUGGAUCUCCUGCCCCAGAGAAGAACCAAGUGUUGGCUGAGAUGUCUGAGCAUCCCCAUGGGAGUGCCCAUGAACCACCAAUGGAAAGGGUACCCAGGUCCUUCAAAUCCUCCCCACUCCUCCCAGCCUUCCGUCCCCCAUGGGAGGGCCAUCAUAGGGUACCCAGGCCCUUCUCCCAAUUCUUCCCACUCCUCCUAGCCUUCCCUUCCCCUGUAAGAAGGCCAUGAUAGGUGCAGCAGCCAAGCAGAGACCCCACUCUAGAGUCCAGGGACAGAAGCAAAGAAAGGGGAGAGGCCUCCAGCCCCACAUACUCACCUGGCUCACCCUUGGGGCCCAUCUUGCCAGGUGGUCCAGGUUGUCCUGAAAUCUCAGAGGCACAGAUGCCCUGAGUCCCACCCCAUGCCCAGGACCAAAAAGAAACAGGAGACUUGGAGCCAGAGGUCAAAUGUCAGUGUCACCCUUCACUCUAUGACUGUGGGCAAAUAUUUUAUCCUCUCUGAACCUUCCUGUCCUCCUCAGCAGAAUGAGGAUGAAACCACCUACCUGGCAGAGUUGAUCUUAGGAUGCAGGGUGCCCAGCCUGGAGCUGGCACAGGGUAGGUUUCUUGCCCCUUUGUGGUGGCCCCUCGGCACAGACAGAAGUUGCUGCAUUCUUGCCUUCCCUGUUCCCAGCCCACUCCCCACCUCUCUCACCUUGAGGACCUGGGGCCCCCUUCUCCCCAGGACUUCCUGGAGCUCCAGGACAACUGGGCAGAAGGACAACUUUGCUGGCUUCCAGUUCCCUGGGUCCUACAGGGAGACACAGGCAGAGUGGGCACAGGGUGGACUGUCUCUUCCAGACCCCUUUGCAGUUCUCUUCCAGUUUCUCAGAUUCCCACUGUCAGGAUGCUUGUCUCCUGAGCUAGCAAGGUUUCGCGUGCCUUACAUUCAUUUGCAUAUAUUUACAUGCAGAGCCCAGAUUAUGAAACUCCCACCCUGUUCCUUGAGGCUGAUGAGCCCUGGUCAGGGGACACCCAGGGAGGGAAUGAGCAGUGGCUUGGUGAGGAGGGCACCCUAAGUGCCUACCUGGACAGCUGGGGUGGUCCUGGGUCUUUAGGCAGGCAGGCCCCCCAAGCAGGAGGAGCCACAGAGAGAGCAGGAUCCGUAGUAGGCCCAUCUUGCUGGGGCCACUGGGAGAAGGAUGCCAGAUUAUAAGGGGGCCAGGCUGGUAGAAGGACAUGCAGCAAGACUUCCUCCCAUUGUCCCCCAGAGACACCCCACCCAGACUGGAGCCAGCAGUGGGUGGCGGUAUUUCCUCCCACAGCCCCGGAGAGAAAGGGCAUUAUCCCUGCCCUAUCCAACUAGGAUGGAGUCCAAUUUUUUUUUUUUUUUUUUUUUGAGACGGAGUUUCACUCUUGUUACCGAGGCUGGAGUGCAAUGGCGCGAUCUCAGCUCACCACAACCUCCACCUCCUGGGUUCAAGCAAUUCUCCUGCCUCAGCCUCCUGAGUAGCUGAAACUACAGGCGUGCGCCACCAUGCCCAGCUAAUUUUUGUAUUUUUUUAGUAGAGACGGGGUUUCACCUUGUUGACCAGGAUGGUCUCGAUCUCUUGACCUUGUGAUCCACCCACCUCGGCCUCCCAAAGUGCUGGGAUUAUAGGCUUGAGCCACCAAAUUUUUUUUUUGAGACUGAGUUUUACUCUUGUUGCCUAGGCUGGAGUACAAUGGCGUGAUCUCAGCUCACUACAACCUCUGCCUCCCAGGUUCAAGUUAUUCUCCUGCCUCAGCCUCCUGAGUAGCAGGGAUUACAGGUGCCCGCCACCAUGCCCUGCUAGAGUCCAAAAAAUGCCCGGCUCAUUUUUUGUAUUUUUUUUAAGUACAGAUGGGGUUUCACCAUGUUGGCUAGGCUGGUCUUGAACUCCUGACCUUAGGUGAUUCACCCCCCCACCCCACCAGCCUCCCAAAGUGCUGGGAUUACAGGCAUGAGCCACCACAACCUGCUAGAGUCCAACUUCUUUUUUUGUUUUUUUUUUUUGAGAUGGAGUUUCGCUGUUGUUACCCUGACUGGAGUGCAAUGGCACAAUCUCGGCUCACCGCAACCUCCGCCUCCUGGGUUCAAGCAAUUAUCCUGCCUCAGCCUCCUGAGUAGCUGGGACUACAGGCAUGCACCACCAUGCCCAGCUAAUUUUUGUAUUUUUAGCAGAGACAGGGUUUCACCUUGUUGACCAGGAUGGUCUCAAUUUCUUGACAUCGUGAUCCACCCGCCUCGGCCUCCCAAAGUGCUGGGAUGAUAAGCGUGAGCCACCGCACCCAGCCUGAGUCCAGCUUCUUAUCCUGGCUUCCAGGGCUCCCCAGCCACCUCUCCAGACCUCUAGGUUCACAGUCACCUCUACCUGUGAAGCCUCAUCUGUCCAUGAAGGUCCAGCUCUACAGCCGUCUCUGCUGGGAAUCCUUCCCUGAUCCUUGUCAAUGCUAUGAAUAGUGGCCGCUGCUACCGUUUAUCGGGAGCUACUGCAUUGCAGCGUCCUACUGAUGCCACCUCCAGUCCUUAUGCAGACUCGCUCUUAGCCCUUAUUAUUGCGUUAUGGGCCUGGUACAAAAUGGGUGCUCAAUAAAAAGGAGUUAAAUGAAUAAGGAAAGAGAAACUGAGGGCCAGGAUGGGACAUGAGUUCUGUUCUCUCUGGCACUUAUAUGUUGAGAGCCACAGAGCUUUUACCCAAGCCCCAUGCCCCGACCAGGGAAAAGCACCAUUGAGAAAGUGACUCCAGGCCAGAUGCAGUGGCUCACGCCUGUAAUCCCAGCACUUUGGGAGGCCUAGGCAGGUGGAUCACGAGGUCAGGAGACCGAGACCAUCCUGGUCAACAUGGUGAAACCCUGUCUCGACUAAAAAUACAAAAAUUAGCUGGGCUUGGUGGCAGGGGCCUGUAAUCCCAGCUACUCAGGAGGCUGAGGCAGGAGAAUUGCUUGAACCAGGCAGUCAGAGGUUUCAGUGAGCCAAGAUUGUGGCAGUGCGCUACUCCAGCCUGAGUGACAGAGCAAGACUCCGACUCAAAAAAAAAAAAAAAAGAACGUGACUCCAGGGGCGCGGUGGCUCAAGCUUGUAAUCCCAGCACUUUGGGAGGCCAAGGUGGGUGGGUCACCUGAGGUUGGGAGUUCAAAACUGGCCAAGAUGGAGAAACUCUGUCUCUACUAAAAAUACAAAAUUAGCCAGGUGUGGUGAGGCAUGCCUGUAAUCCCAGUUACUCGGGAGGUUGAGGCAGGAGAAUUGCUUGAACCCAGGAGGCAGAGGUUGUGGUAUGCCAAGAUCGGGCCAUUGCACUCCAGCCUGGGCCACAAGAGUGAAACUGUGUCUCAAAAAAAAAAAAAAGGAAGAAAGAAAGUGACUCCAUGCUCAAUCUUGAGUUCCAUAAGGCCUAGGAAACAGCUGCUAAUGUAGGCAAUUGAGUGGGAAGCCCAGGCAGGGAGCCUGGGAGGCCAGUGAGGAUGUAGCAGCCAGGGUCCAGAUGUGAAGGAUGAGGCCUGAGCUGGAGAGGGACCUCAGGUGAUAAGGGAGGAGAGGAAGGGCUCAUUCGUUCAUUCACUCAUUCAGCAAACGCUCCCUGAAGGCCCCCUCUGCACCUCCCUGGUAUUUCUGGGGAGGGCUGAGGUGCAAGAGGUGUCAGGAAAAGUGGAGGCUGUGUUUGCCCAAUAGGAUGUGUCCACGAGAUGGAUGCCCUGAGACUCUGCAAUUCCAGUUCUAGGAAUCUGUCUUCCUCAGACUGUCCCACAAGUGUGCUAAGAUCUGCAGACAAGCCUGUUUACCACAGUGCUAUUUGUAAGCAUCAAUGCGGAAAUGUCCCAGCCAGCCAUUGAUGGAAUUCACAUGAGUUAGAAACGUUCAGACAAGUCAUAGGGUGAGUCUGAUCUAAAAUGAGAGGGGCAAAGUACAGAACAGUAUGCACAGCGUUAUUCCACUUUGUAUUUUUAAAAUGCUAGAGGUGUGUGUAUAGAUGUUGUAAAUUCACAGAAAAAGGUCUGAAGAGACCUUGUGAAUUGUGGCUAUUUCUGGAGAGUAGGACCAGGGAGAGGGGUAGUUCUCACUUUUAUUUAUUUAUUUAUUUAUUUAUUUAUUUAUUUAUUUAUUUUGAGACAUGACCUCACUCUGUUGCCCAGGCUGGAGUGCAGUGGUACGAUCACAGCUCACUGCAGCCCCCGCCUCCUGGGCUCAGGCUGUCCUCCCACCUCAGUCUCCCAGGUAGCUGGAACCACACACAGGCAGAGCCACCACAUCGGCCUAAAUUUUUAUUUAUUUAUUUAUUAUUUAUUUUGAGACACAGUCUUGCUGUGUUGCCUAGGCUGGAGUGCGGUGACUUGAUCUCAGUUCACUGCAACCUCCACCUCCUGGAUUCAAGUGAUUCUCCUGCCUCAGUUUCCCAAGUAGCUGGGAUUACAGGUGUGCACCACCAUGCCCAGCUAAAUUUUGUAUUUUUAGUAGAGAUGGGGUUUCACUAUGUUGGUCUAGCUGAUCUCGAACUCCUGACCUCAAGUGAUCCACCUUCCUCAGCCUCCCAAAGUGCUGGUAUUACAGGUGUGAGCCACUGCACCUGGCCUAAAUUUUUAUUUUUUGUUGAGAUGGGUUCUCACCAUAUUGCCCAGGCUGGUCUCAAACUCUUGGCUUCAAGCAAUCAUCCUUCCUUGGUCUCCCAAAGUGCUGGAAUUACAAGUGUGAGCCACUGUACCUCCUGGCCAGUUCUUUUUUUUUUUUUUUUUUGAGAUAGAGUCUCAUUCUAUCGCCCAGGCUGGAGUGCAAUGCGCAUUCUCCGCUCACUGCAACCUCUGCCUCCCAGGUUCAAGCGAUUCUCCUGCCUCAGCCUCCGAGUAGCUGGGACUAAAGGCACCAUGCCCAGCUAAUUUUUGUAUUUUUAUUAGAGACGAGGUUUCACCAUAUUGGCCAGGCUGGUCUUGAGCUCCUGAGCUUGUGAUCUGCCCACCUCGGCCUCCCAAAGUGCUGGGAUUACAGGCGUGAGCCAUCAUGCCCAGCCAGUUUUUGUGUUUUUUUUUUUUAAUAUAUAGAGGGUCUCACCCUGUCACCCAGGCUGGAGUGCAGUGACAUGAUUCUGGUUCACUGCAGCCUGGACCUCCUGGGCUCAAGUGAUUCUCCCACCUCAGCCUCCUGAGUACCUGGGACUACAGGCAUACACCAUCACUCCCGGCUAAGUUUUGUAUUUUUAGUAGAGACGGGGUUUCGCCAUGCUGCCCAGGCUGGUCUCCAACUCCCAAGCUCAAGCAAUCCUCCUGCCUUGGCCUCCCAAAGUGCUAGAAUUACAAGCAUAAGCAACCACACCCAGCCCGAUUCUCAUUCUUCAUAUAAACUUCUGUAUAGUCCUUUUUCCAAUCCUCACAGGCAUUUAGUACUUUUGCAAGAAAAAGAAAGCAUCCAAUAAAGGAGGAUGAUGAAGAAAACUUGUGCUGGGGGAGAAACAAGGGCAGGGGGGCCCAGGCAGGAGAAGCUGCUCAUGUGGAAGCCUGGAGAAGAGAGAAGCCAAGGCAGAUGGGGGAGGCAGCAGGGCUCUAGGGAGCUGGAGGAGUGCACAAAGGCGAGGCUGAUUUCCAGAGGCUGGGAGCUUUGGCAGAAGUGAGGGUGUGAGGGGGGAUGAGGAGGUGGACUGUGGUUGGCAGUGGGAGGUGGAGUGAGCUGAGAUCUCACCCCUCUACUCUAGCCUGGGUGACACAGCGAGACUGUCUCAAAAAAAAAAAAAAAGGAAAAGAAAGAAAAGAAAAAUUAAAUAAAAAGUUUUAAGACUUGCAGCUACAUGCCUGGCUCCCAGCAAGUGUCAGGGAAGUCAGGGGAGACUUCUGUGCCCGGGGACAGGAGGCGGGGCUUCCCAGAGAGCCUGAGAGAGAAAGGCCAGAAAUGGCCACUCCGGAGUCCCAGGGGGCCUUUCCACCUUGGCACUGGGCAGAAACCUAAAACUGCAGGCGGCUGAGAGAGCCUGGAGAUGCCUCCAGAAUACAGUUCUGCUCACUCUGGACUCAGAAAAGUCUGAAUUGAUUUUAUUUUUUAUUAUUUUCCUUUUUAUUGAUGGGGUCUCAACUAUGUUGCCCAGGCUGGUCUCCUGGACUCAAGGGAUCCGCCUGCCUCAGCCUCCCAAAGGGCUGAAAUGAUAGGCAUGGGCUACGACGCCCAGCCGAGAAAGGCCUGAAUUGAAACCCCAGCCCUGCCCUGUCCAGCUGUGUGACUUGAGCACUUGUACUUACCUGAGUCUCCAUACCCUCAUCUGUAAAGGGGGAGAGAGUGGGGUUAAGCUGGUAUCAACGAUGAAAAUAUAUAUAUAUUUUGAGAUGGA